AUUCUCUGGUUUCUUUUCAUCCUACGAGUUAAUCUUUCGCCUUUUAGUAAAGAUUACCGUGGAGAGGAACAUUACAAUGAGCCUAAAAAUAAUUUUUGGAAUCCUCACCU
This 110-nucleotide small nuclear RNA is filed under the name Stegodyphus mimosarum. RNAcentral describes it as "U5 spliceosomal RNA". It matches the Rfam family "U5 spliceosomal RNA". From Rfam's summary of the family: U5 RNA is a component of both types of known spliceosome. The precise function of this molecule is unknown, though it is known that the 5' loop is required for splice site selection and p220 binding, and that both the 3' stem-loop and the Sm site are important for Sm protein binding and cap methylation. Lineage: Eukaryota; Metazoa; Arthropoda; Arachnida; Araneae; Eresidae. The record is from Rfam by way of RNAcentral.